UGCACAAGAUUCCAUGGUGAUCUCAGGUCUAAGGAUCACUUGCAUAACUCCUAUUUAAAGAACCAUCUUUGACAUGUAAGUAAGGCUUCCAUAAGAUGUUCUCUUUCAUUGAGUCAAUUCAGUGGACUCAUUUUUCAAAUAAGCACCAACAUCUUUGUAUUAAUGUCCCACACAAGUGGCUAGUGAGAUUUGCCACCCUCUC
This 202-nucleotide long non-coding RNA is filed under the name Elaeis guineensis (African oil palm). RNAcentral describes it as "long non-coding RNA (EGUI_LNC081411)". Lineage: Eukaryota; Viridiplantae; Streptophyta; Magnoliopsida; Arecales; Arecaceae. The record is from RNAcentral.